GGGGAUGAGGAUGACCGACCGAGAUGGAGCGAUCGUCGGCGUCGGCGUCGGCGUCGGUGGGGUGGGCCGAAGAAGGAGAGGGGGGGAGGGAGGGGCGACCGGACGGACCAACCAAGGGAGGAGGGGGCGGUGCCAGCGACAGCGUCCUAGCGGUGGUGGCUCGGGGGUGACGGCGGUGGGCAUCGAGAGAGAGGUCGGAGGUCGAGGUCGUCUAGUCGUCGUCCUCAUCCGGCGUCGCCGUCGCAGACGGGUCGAGGCGGCGAAGGCGGCAGCUAGAGCCGGUCGGAAGGCGGGGGAGGUAAGGUGGCUGGGUGGGUGGUUUUUCUCGGGGAUGUGCGGCGGCGGGCUCCGAUCGAUCGGGCGGGCGAGCGAGGGAGCGAAGCACUCGGCGCGCGCGCGCCAGCGGCGAGGUCGUAGCGUCCUCCGGCCCGGACACCGACGCUCCGAGCGCCGCGAGUUAACCGAACGGCCCCCUGCGGUGCGGUGCGGUGCGCCGCCCGGAACAGGUCUUAUAAACGGCGUGCCUUUUUCGAUCAUCAUCUCGAUCGCUCGCUCGAACCACGCUAAGGAGGGGUCAAAAAUUAACCGAAGCCGUCGUCGCGGUCGGUUGCCGCUCGGGCGGGCGGGUGGUCGGCCUCCAUCCCCUCCUCGUGACCUCAUUUCUCCGCGGCGCCGGGCCCCUAAAAUAAUUACGCCGAAUCGCUCGCCCGCCCGAUUAAUAAAAUCGCGGCGACAGAGCCGACCCUUGAGCGCUUUCGAGCCGAGAAAACUCCAGCGGGGACGGGGGCGAGCGGCGGAGGAGGCGGGUUGGGGAGGCGCGGCGCGAGGGCGUGAGAGAGGGAGGGCGACCCUGACCCUCGUGAACAAAAGAAGACCCAUGGUCACGCCCACACGAAAGCGACCCCGGCCCCGGCCACCAGCAGCGCGUAAGGGUGUUCGUAUACCACGCGUAACACCCCCUACCCCUCAUCAUCAUUUAACCCCCUUCCGUACCUCCUCUUCCCCCCGUCCCACCCCUACCCGUUCAUGCGCCGGUCCGCCCCGACCUCCGCGGACCGCCGCCACCGGACCGACCACCGCCGCCACCGGACGAGCCGGCGGCACGUGACCGUCGACGCGGCCCUCUGGUACCUCGCGCGGCUCCUCGCCGAGCAGUCGUACACGCUCCUCGCCCGGUCCUACGACGUCCUCGUCAAGCCCCAGUGGCAGUUGGUGCAGGUGCGCGAGCGGUAGGAGUAGAGGUGGAAGGUGAAGCUCUUCUUGGGGAGGCGGGAGCUGGUCCUAUGAAAACGUUUCAUGUGCCGUUCCUGUAGUAAGCUCGCGGGCGACGAUUUACCCCACCGAAUGCGUGUCGCGGAGAAGGGAGUACUCUUCCUUUGAAAACUUUCUGUCGUACCUACCUAAUACUCCUGAUACUUAGCUCUCCCACGUGGAGAGGUUCUACUCAUGCGGGGCCACUAAAAGAGGGUCCUAUGCCAGAGGAUGGAACGCGCGUACCUGUACUACAGACCCCUCCUCCUGGCUCUUUUGUAGAACGCACGCUCCCUUUGACCGUUUGGACACAAUUGUUUGGGUAAAGCCGAAGAACCCAGCUUGGUGAACCCCCAUCAUGAGUGAAAACGUCACAUAGCGGGACUAGAUGGACGACUACGUAGUCAACUCGUUGCACACCUUCGUUGACGACCGAUAGAACCACCUCGGAAACUACACCUCAGUGAACACCUUUUAAACGACUCAUUUGAACGACCGUUAGUCCUAUAUAACCACUUACACAUACUACAGUGUUUACGAAGUCUUGGAUACCGGUACAUACCUAGAGUUUGAGGUCUAUUAUUUCACCUGGAGAACGUACAAUCGUACGAACUAAAACCUCUAGGCAAAUCCUUCGUACUUUACUCUACGUCCAUACCCGUUUUCGGAGGUUACGGCACCAGACGAUAAUCAUUAGGAUACCCGACGAAACAGUAUACCUACGAAUAACCCAUAUAUUAAACACGACGUACCAGAGCCAUACUGUUUCAAAGUCUCCUAACAUCUUUUUACCUUCUCGAGUUUUGAGUUCGUCUUCGACGACUAUAACGUUUCAGAGUCAAAGACCGUUGACAUAGUGUACUUUAAUCUUGAGGAUACUUGCCGCAGGAACCUUACGACCUGUACGAAAACCCCUGUCUAGACUGAUACUGAGUCUUCCUAAAACGAGUCUGGCGAGUCCUAACACCGUUUCGCAACUAUUAUGACUAUUUACUACAGGAACUAGCUCGUUUCAAACUUCGACCUUCCAACCUUGAACUCCUUCACGGAAAACUAAACGCUUGCGACUGCCUGCUACACUAGAGAAACAAACGGAGUUUCAAUUCUCGCUUCACGUAUCUCGAACGUCACAAACACUCACUGCUGCAAGGUUUUGAACAGUGGCCUCUAGGAACCUCUAAAGCUGUCUAUGACUGUUUAAAUCACCCGUUACGUCAGUUUAAGUGUCUUGCCCCAGUACAAAAACACGCCCAGAGAAACCGACUCUUGAGUUGAUACCUUCGAUUAGCUCAGGGGUUACCUUUGGAGUUACCCUUUCUAACAUUUCAACUCGGAUGUCGAUUACCACGGAAGUUAUGAAACUCACCCAAAGUUCGACGCCUACUUGCUUUAUCGACCCUUACAAAAUUCGACAACGAGAGACUAUUCCUCAAUGAAAGACUACUCGAGCUCCCACUUUUUAGAUCGGUUUUACUAAGGCUAGUGCACUGGAACUACUAUUCGUAACUCCUAUGUCCACAACCAUAAGGUGACGUACGUGUUCUAGCACAAAAAUGCGGAAAAUACGUCCGUCUAUCAAGUUGAAGUUCCUUAAUACCACCUUGACCAUAACCAAAUUCGUAGUCGUUUACAAACCGACUUGAAUACCCGCCCGUUUAUUCAAAAUAGUCGGCAGGAAGAUAACCCUCAUGUAAAUGUAAGAGUCGCCAACACUUCGCACGUAGGUUUCUAUGAAGUACACUAAGUCUCUCCUCGAACAGGCUCCGUGAUGGUUGACGGAAAUCCCCUUACUUCCGCUAAAACCAUCUACCCUUUGGACACGCAUCACGACACUGUUCUAUAGUGGAAUUGUCCGACCCUUAUUAACAAGUUCAACACUUAUUAUACUCAUACCCUUAAGUUCGGAAACCCUUUUUACCGCGUUGUCUCAGUUCUCUUUUUGGCAGCUACGAAAAAUAACUCUUACUGUACACCUCCGGGCUCUGUCUAUAAGUCAAUAGUUUAGCAGAUGUAUGCGAGUCCUACUUACCAGUCCGCGUACUCGAUGGGUUCGACUAGGAAAACCAGUGUAGACUUCGACUGUUCCUGUUCAUACCUAGGUGCAAGUUAUGACACUACACAUUUGGGAAUUCUCGUUCGUGUUAACGAAGAACAGAAGUCGUCAACGAUUUUCAUCUAUAUGGACGUUCCUUUCUUUUAGUUUUAUCCGGGAGUAAAGAAGCCUCGGACAACCAACCCUUCUUAUAUAACCAACAUCUACUGUUAUUUCAUUUAGACGCCCAACGAGUUCGGCGUGACUUCUUCAUACCACGGUUCCAAGUAACACAACUUUCACCGUUCCUACGAUAGAGGGAUGAAGUUGGAGGCGUAACGAAGGUACGUACAAAAUACCUGCAAGUUUACGGACUCUACCUACCCAAGCUCCGCUGAUCCGUUUAUGCUCUUUACCUCUUCUUUCGCUUGCUCUAUUUCUCUCUCGUCAGCUCAAGUCCCCUUCCAAGCUGUAAACAACUCACCGUAAACGGACAAGAACGCUACUGGCGGCUGCAGUAAGUCCGCUGGAUGCUUCUCACGUACUUUAGCCCCUACCUACCGAUGCACAGGUUUGGCAAACUGCUCGUCGUCGAUAUGGUUCGUCAGAGGUCUAAUCACCACCCUUGUCGACUAAGCCGGAGUACUAGACUAGCUAGCUCUGUCCUAGGCUGCGGAGCAACCAACUUCGCUUCGGUUCGACUGAGACUGAGAAAUGUUUGGACUGUACCUAUAGAGACGUUGUGAAACCUACUCUUCUGCUUCCGCGGAACUCGAUCACUUGAAGCAACGUCCGGCUCCAUUCCAUUUGCUGCUACGCGCAGCGGCGCCACCCGUACGUAAAGACGACCACGACCACGACGACGACGACGACGGGUCCCCCCAUCUACUUCUACUCCUCCACCGAGCUCUAUAUGAUCCAUCUAAUCCUAAAAAACCAAACGACAACCAUCAUCCGUCUACAUACAUACUACAACAUAGAGGACAGACAAGUAAGAAACUUGUAUACAUUGUAGAGACACGACACGUUACGACACGACGCGAGGGGGUUCCGGGUUCGAAGUCUCAGGCUACUUUUCCUUUCUACACCAUUUGACCCGCACAGAAAAAACAGACCGCUCUACGACUUAAACGAUCAGGAGAACGAGUCCACGAGACAAAGGGGGGAGACGUUUUUGUUGUCAACCUAAACUUAACCUGCCGAGUUUUAAGGCUAAAUGUGACAAAAAAG
RNAcentral lists this ribosomal RNA (4513 nucleotides) under Triticum aestivum (bread wheat). RNAcentral's name for it is "partial small subunit ribosomal RNA". The record is from RNAcentral. Lineage: Eukaryota; Viridiplantae; Streptophyta; Magnoliopsida; Poales; Poaceae.